Molecule: unclassified non-coding RNA, 332 nt
Filed under: soil metagenome
Description: partial contains 5.8S ribosomal RNA, internal transcribed spacer 2, and large subunit ribosomal RNA
Rfam family: 5.8S ribosomal RNA (bases 1-121)
Source: RNAcentral
GAUGAAGAACGUAGUGAAAUGCGAUAAGUAAUGCGAAUUGCAGAAUUUCCGUGAGUCAUCGAAUCUUUGAACGCACAUUGCGCCCCCUGGUAUUCCGGGGGGCAUGCCUGUUCGAGCGUCAUUUCACCACUCAAGCCUCGCUUGGUAUUGGGCAACGCGGUCCGCCGCGUGCCUCAAAUCGACCGGCUGGGUCUUCUGUCCCCUAAGCGUUGUGGAAACUAUUCGCUAAAGGGUGUUCGGGAGGCUACGCCGUAAAACAACCCCAUUUCUAAGGUUGACCUCGGAUCAGGUAGGGAUACCCGCUGAACUUAAGCAUAUCAAUAAGCGGAGGA